Molecule: long non-coding RNA, 1173 nt
Organism: Lucilia sericata (common green bottle fly)
Lineage: Eukaryota; Metazoa; Arthropoda; Insecta; Diptera; Calliphoridae
Exons: 2
Source: RefSeq, a predicted model, not a curated record
CGCUAAAAUUAUAAGACAAAACCACGCACAUUGUUGUUGUUGCUGUCAUUCUUUUUUUUGAUCUUUUUAAAUCAUGACCAACUUGAAUAUUGAGGUUAUGUUAAAAUGUUGUCAUAUGUGUAACAUGCAGGGAAAUUAAAUAUGCCUCUCAAGUGUGAAGAGAAACCUAUACAAAUUGUUGUCAACUUCAGACAAAUAUUUUUUAUAAAUAAUAUUUCGUGAGUAAUGUACGCACAUGCUUUAUUUUUUUGCUUUAUAUGAUAAUUGUUGAAAAAUAUCUUGGUAUAAAAAAUAAACAUGAGUAUGUAAAAAGCCGGCAACUAUGUGGCGCUGCUAAUAAUGUAAAUUACCGACACACCACCCAUACAUUAUCUUACAAAAUUUCAAUUUUAUUAGUGUUUGUUGGGGAUUACGUUUAAUCCUAAGGAGAACAUACAUAAUACAUACAUAUUUACAUAUGUAGGUGGUAACUUGAAAACAUUUUCUUUAAAAAUGCAGUGAUUUAAUUUCGCCAAUGUAUAUACAUACAUAUGUACAUACGUACAUCAUAUAUAUUAAAAAAGACACACGAAAUUUCAAAAUUAAAUAUACUUAAAAUGCAGCAUAAAACGUGUUAGAAAUGUAUGCAUAAUGUGAAUUUUUUCCAAUCGUGCCACCUUUGUUAGGCGUUAUGAACAUUUAUAGUAUGUACAGAACUUGUUUUUUCAUCUUGGCAAAAUUUUAUUUAUUACUAACCUAUGCCGAACAAAUUCACCCGCGGCUAUAGCCGGCUAAAAAAUUUGAUCAAAGGUUAGUUGGUAGUAUACUAGCGUAUAAGUCUGGAAGUUGGUUUGAUUUCCACCAGAGAUCCUGGUCUGCUUCAUUGCAACGGACAUCGUCACCCUGCUCCCUCAUCAUAAACCGGUCCUGGAAUAGUAGAUUGGAUUGCAAAGUAUCAAAGGCCCUAUGGCCAAAACUUCAUAUGGGGGCUACAAAAAUACUAAUAAGACUGGACAAACGCAAUCUAAGGAUUCUGAUAGGGAUUCUAUUCCUUGAAAUGGCUAGGGAAUAUGCUCCAUGGCGAAAUUGGGAUAUUGCUGGUUUUUGUAAAACAAGAAUUUAGUAUAAAUAUAAAAAUUUAAAAAAAUGGACAACAAACUAUUAAUCUUAAUAAAUAUACUGAUGAAAAUCGAA